Molecule: long non-coding RNA, 2011 nt
Organism: Jatropha curcas
Lineage: Eukaryota; Viridiplantae; Streptophyta; Magnoliopsida; Malpighiales; Euphorbiaceae
Source: RefSeq, a predicted model, not a curated record
CUUUAGUCAUCUACUCUCUUCUUCUUCCCUUUGGAUAGGGCAAUCUCUCUUCCAGUGAAGACAAUUUAUUAUAUUUAUGGUUGUUAAGAAAAGAGCUAUUCACAUGCAACCAUUUCCUUCUAUGCAAUGUGUCAACCGUGGGUCAAACUUCUCUCACGUGUCGAAGGUAGCAGAUACACAGUGCAAGAACCAAUCCGCUCGCUUCAAUUUUGCAAUAUCCUUUUUCUUUUCUUAAUAUUUUAUCUUAGUUAUCUCUAUAAAAGUCGACCCCCCUUCCCUCAAACUCACUCGCUUACUCUUGAAUUCAAGAAUCAAGAUCGUCUAUUGGAGGCGACUCUGCACCAGGUGGGUUGAGGAUUAUCCAAAGAAAUUAAAGACAAUAAUUUUUGUGUCAGAUUCAGAUAUCGGUUGGGUGAGUGUGUUCCAUGCUAUGCUUGUCAAAUAAGCAGUCUUUUGCGAAUUAACCUUUGUUUCGUUGUCUGUUCGACCUUGAUCAAUACAUAUCUUUUCUUAAACUGUAUAUCAAAAAACCCUAAUUUAGAUUUUCUUUAUUUUGUUUUCCAUAGUGCAACCAGUAUCAGGAUAGGGCAAAAAAUCCCAGAUUUUUAUUUUUUUGAACUGAAAACUUUCAUUGCCUAGAAAUCCAGAUUUGAAUAUAUCAUAUCUCUACACCAUGAACGAAUCUAAAAAAUUAGACAAUUCUUCUUUAGACCCAAAAGUAUUAGUUUUGGUAAUCUGAAGCCUACUUUAAAGAAUAAAUAAAUAAAAGGGUGCAACAUGCAAUUAAGAUUCAUGCACCUGCAUUAUACACACAAGCAUGCAUGUAUUUUAUGUUGGAAUCCAAUAUAUAUAUAGGCUACAUUAGUGACUUUCAGGUGUAUAACAAAGUAUGAGUAUAAGUAAAGAUAAGGAAAUAUUACCUAAUAAGAGUUAUUUUAAUAAUAUAUGUACAUAUAGGUUUUGAUUUCAUCAUUGCAUUAAGAAUUUUGGAUAGUGAAUUAAUGCAAUUAUAUAUAUAUACCUAUAGUUUUCCCAAUGUCAUAUAUUAGACGGAAAAACAAUCCUUCGAUCUACUGUGAAGGACUAAGAAUUAAAUUAAGAAAUAAUGUAAUGAUUUUAGAAAAAGAAAAAUAAAAUCAUAUCGCUGCUCAUUGAAAAGGCUUGUGAGAUAGGAGAUUUAUGAGAAAAGGACAUCUUAGUUAAUAUGAUACUGGCUUUGGUUUUUCAUUGUCAUGCAACCAGAAGAAAUAAGAUGCUAAGGUCGAGGAGUUUCAGAGUUUCAUAAAUAUGGUAGCUGAAGAAAUUUUGAAAAGUAGGUCUAGGAGAAAAUGCGACAAGGAUGUGGAUUCUUUUUCGACUUUGCAAGCUUGAAAAUAAAUGUUCUUGGAAGGUGCAAUCCUGAUAUACCCUAGCCAUAGUUAUAUGAAUAAGACUAUAAGGUACUAGAUAUUUUAAAUGUUCUCAGGUUUAGACUUAACUUUCUUGCAUCUCAAUUGAUUCAAACUAUAAAAAGAAAAAAAAAAAAAAUUAAAGGCACAUCUUUUCUUUUAAAUAGGGAAUAUUAAGCCCUUAAAAUUGGGGUCUUUAAUGUAUUAAUUACAGUCUGCAUUGCGUUUAAUCUACUCCAUAGUCUCUAAGUCUGUACAAGCCACAAACUCGAAGCCAUUGGAAUAUAGUAAAGGUCAAUUAGCUUUUGAUUUUGAAAUUCUUGGGUUGCAAAAUUGCAAGCUGCAACCAUAUAUUUAUUAUCAUCGACGUAACUAUGCAAAAUGGGUUAUUUAUGAUGUAAAGAAUAUUAAUCUGAAGAAAAUAUAUUUAUAUAUGGUUCUAAAAAAAAUUUUGAAAGGUCGAACACAUGACGAAUUUGAGGUAUUAAGCAAGGGACUAAUUAUUUGACAAGGUCAUUUGCAUGGAAUUCAAUACCCUAAAUUUGUUGUUGCUCCUCCAAUGCACAAGGUCAGCCACGCCACGCCGAAAAGGGAACCGAUUUGAAAAAAAAAAAAAAAAAAAA